This is a non-coding RNA of Bemisia tabaci, 1364 nucleotides long. The record is from RefSeq and is a predicted model, not a curated record. NCBI's taxonomy places the organism in Eukaryota, Metazoa, Arthropoda, Insecta, Hemiptera, Aleyrodidae.
UUUUAAACGUAACGUGACGCUUGCGAUACUUUGGCCGGAGGGUGUUAAUGUCCGAGGCAUUUUUAUGCGCUUCUCGUGAGGAUGAAAAUAUCUAGGCAAUGUUGCGGCAAUAUGUAACCAAAUUAUUGAAUCUAUUACCUUAAUAUAAAGUUAAACAUUUUGGAGUAUGGAAUUCUAUGCCGGAGAUUGUAAACCGCCCAAAACCCCCAAUGAUAUGAAUGUGGAGCGGAACCUUUUUUCCUUACGGAGUGACUUACACUAUUACGAGGUGGAAUCUACUCUAUUUGGGAAGCAUCAUACGCUUUAAUGGUGCUAAUUUCACGUCGUACUCAUUUCAUUGGAGGUUUUUGGAUGCUAUGCAGACUUCGGCACCGCAUUUCACUCUUCGAAUUUUAAUAGUGAUCACUGAGAAAAAAGUUCGGUCGUAAGAACCGAGUGUCCUCCUUUAAAAAAAUAAAAUAAGAGCCAAGCUUUUGAAACGCCGCAAACACGAUACGCCUUUUUUGCAGUUUUACCAUCAUAUUACUAAUCAUACUCCAUUAAUCAAUGCUGGAUUCUAUAACCAACAGAGUAGAGUCGAUCAAUUGGAUUAGGAUUUUCACCCGCACAUGACAGCUUUAAUGUUCCAUCAGUGACGUAGUCCAGGACUCUCUUCCCCCUCGAUGGCCAUUUUUACCAGACUUUUAGAUGAGCCAACGAUGCGUUUUGCAUCCAUGGCUGGAGGAUAUAAAUUCGCGUUUACAGCGGUUGACAAUCGUCAGCUGCGGCUUUCACCGUCUCUUCGUUAACCUUCAAUUAUCACAUCGUGUCCUGUCUGCUGGAGAAGUCCUCCUCUGCCAGUUUGAGCGAUUAUUUCCGCAAUUUUUGCCAUCGGUUCAAACGCACUGCAAUCAUCACUAGCGUGGAUAGAGUUUUUUCAUCCCCAAAAAAUGACCUUUUAUGGAGAAAAUUUUCUGUUCAUCGAUGGACCUCCCCGUCUCCUUUUUUGGCAACACCAGAGACCAUCAUCAAAAACAUCAUCAAAUUCAUGAAAACUAUCCGUCUUUUACUCCGCUAUAACGAAAAAGUAAAUUUGACGUCAUGCGUAUCUAUACGAAAAAAAACCUAAAAAAUGUAAUUUAUGAACAGAAAUUACUGAAAAUAAGAAAACCAAUUGCGAGCAGAAGAACAUUUUCAAUUUUAAAAUCUAACAUUAAUUAUAAAAAUAGUUAUAAAACGCAUGUGAUUAAAUGUGCAAUGCCACCCUGGUGUCACAAGGCGGCACAUUUUCUCACGCCAUAAUACAUUGUUUUCAAGUUUCCUAAAUUUGGAAUAAUAUUGUAAAAAAAUCUGUGAACUCAACUCAUCAAGCAUUUCUAAAUGAA